Molecule: long non-coding RNA, 1799 nt
Organism: Chinchilla lanigera (long-tailed chinchilla)
Lineage: Eukaryota; Metazoa; Chordata; Mammalia; Rodentia; Chinchillidae
Exons: 4
Source: RefSeq, a predicted model, not a curated record
AUUGUGAGCAUCCCCUGCCAUGCCAUGCCAUGAUGUUCUGCCUUGGAGUGAGCUGAGCAUGCGAGGACUGAGGCUACUGAAAUCUAAAGACUCAACAGCAGGAUGAAAAUUUCGGCCUUGCUUUUCAUCUCAGCCACACAAAGAUGUUAUGAAGAGCUGCUCUGAACCCAUCCUGUUUGUGAAAACAACCUCCCCAAAGGAGCACGGACCAUUGUUGUUCUCCUCCGUUCCUGUCAGUAAUUGAUUCAGGAAGCUUUCUUGAAGAAUCAGUUCUUCUGCUUUAUUAUCACUUCUGCCGAAUGUUGCGCAGGGAUUGUCAAAAAUUUGAAUGUAAUAAAAUGAAUAACAUUACAUCUAUAAUGAAUAUAAUUUAGGCCUUCAGACUGUAGACUUUUCAGUGGUAUAGAUGUACCUUUUGAACAUCAAUGAUAAUGACAUUACAGGUAUAAAAAUAUAGGAAAUAGACUGAAAUGACCUUUGUCCUGUAAUACUCGUGUGGCAACUGAGAAGCCUGGGGAAUUUGCAAUAAACCGAGGACUGCAGGAGAACAUGGAUGUGAGUGUGGGAAGCAAGGUGUGUCUUCUGUGUAGCAACGCCUGGUCUCACGUUUGCUAUGACUGCAGAUGUUGCCGCCCUCUCCCCAAGCUGAGAUUUUAUGGCCACACAGAAGUGUGAAUUCCUACAUUUAAUUACAACAUAUGGUUUUUGCCAUUUUCCCAUCAAAAGUUUGAGUUUCUUUCUUAGUCCUUUAAUUCUGGAUGCGGCCGGCUACCUUGCUUUGGGUGAAGGGACGUGAGAAAACGCGGAGCAGAGGCGAGAAGAACACUGCACACCUUCUUACCACCCUGCGAACGAGCCUCCCAGGGGAUGAGCGGCCAUGUGAGAAGGGGCUCGAGCACCACAGCUUCCUGGACUAUCGCUGCAGACGCGAGGAAGAGACAACUUUAGAUCCAGCAGCCCCACAGGAGCUGGUCUAACCCAGAAGCAGGAGCCAGAUCACCCACAACAUUGUGAGAUGAUGUAAAUGAUUGUUGUUUUAAGGUACUAAACUUUGUGGUGUUCUGAUGUGAGGCAAAAGCGAAUGGCCUCGCCUAGCUAGUUGAGGAAGCUUGGAGAGGGGGAGCAAGCUGCCUGGGAGAGGGACCUGGAUUACCAUUGUUCAACUUAAGGGUCUUGAAUGUUUGGCUAGAGGCAGGGGAACCCUAAGGAGAGAAAAGUACAGAAAAAGGGGUAAGGGCAUACGUAAAACGAAGUCCACUCUUCCUCACUAUUGACCUUGUUAUAGCUUCAAGAAGAAACAUUGGAACGUGAGUGUUUUAUGUCCAGUGUUGGAAUUUCGCUGUAACUUGUACAAUGCAAAGUGAUCUGACACCCUUAUUUACUUUUUUAUUUAAUGGGCCAUUGAGUUUCAUCUUGACCCAGAACUCUGAGUCUGAGUAGGCUGAGAGGCCUUUUCUGCAGUUGGGAAACAUCAGAAGCAGAGAGCAGAAGCCGUGUCCCUGAGUACCCUGCCAGUCUCCUGCAACCUACUGCAACACUGUACUGUGUUAAAAACACCAGACUCUAGUGCUCUAACUUAGAACUAUAACCAGUUUGGUAACGGGCGUUGUCCCUCCACUGUGGAGUAGUAACUGAAUGCAUGUCUGCUGUCUGUAGGGACUGAGGUUUCCUAGAGCACGAAUCUUCUUUUAUCCAUUCAUUCUUUUAUUUGUGCGGAAAAUGUUCAUUGUUUUACCACGGUGCAUGCCUGAUUUCAUGGAUGGUGCUAUUUAAGCAGAAGAGAAAAGAAACAACAUACA